GGCUCAGAAUGAACGCUGGCGGCGUGCUUUACACAUGCAAGUCGAGCGAGGCGGCCCGCAAGGGCCAGUCGAGCGGCGAACGGGUGAGUAACGCGUGGAUUAUCUGCCCUGAGGUGUGGGAUAACCAGGGGAAACUCUGGCUAAUACCGCAUGAUACCGAGAGGUCAAAGGGGGCUCGCAAGGGCUCUCGCCAUAGGAGGAGUCCGCGUUCGAUUAGCUAGUUGGUAGGGUAAUGGCCUACCAAGGCGACGAUCGGUAGCCGGCCUGAGAGGGUGAUCGGCCACACUGGAACUGAGACACGGUCCAGACUCCUACGGGAGGCAGCAGUGGGGAAUUUUGCGCAAUGGGCUAACGCCUGACGCAGCAACGCCGCGUGGAGGAUGAAGGUCCUUGGAUUGUAAACUCCUGUCAGCAGGGAAAAAGCGACUUAGCCUAAUACGCUAGGGAGUUGAUUGUACCUGCAGAGGAAGCCCCGGCUAACUCUGUGCCAGCAGCCGCGGUAAUACAGAGGGGGCAAGCGUUAUUCGGAAUUAUUGGGCGUAAAGGGCGCGUAGGCGGCUUGGCAAA
This 567-nucleotide ribosomal RNA is filed under the name uncultured Acidobacteriota bacterium. RNAcentral's name for it is "bacterial SSU rRNA". It matches the Rfam family "Bacterial small subunit ribosomal RNA", at positions 21 to 587 of the family's 1533-position model. The record is from RNAcentral. Lineage: Bacteria; Pseudomonadati; Acidobacteriota.